CUGAGAGGAUGGUCCUCUGCCAGUAUAAAGGUAAAAGGGCUUCUUAUUUUCAUAAGCAUGAAGGAUUUGGUCCAUAUCUCUGUGAGAAAAAAAGAUUCCUCUCCGUAGAAAUCGGUGAGGUUUUUGCCCAGUAGCUCUUUCUAUUCGAUUGAUCAGAUCUGUAUCGAUUUUAGUGCUGCCAAACCGAACUAUGAGUUUGUCAUAAUCCACGCCUUUAGCAUUUGAUGUCUGCACGUUCCAGGGGUCCACAAGAUCUUCAUCCUCUUCUUUAGUUGUACCAUUGUUUAUUAAUGCAUGAUCUUUUGGAGGUAAGCCUGCCUGAUA
This 324-nucleotide long non-coding RNA is filed under the name Gallus gallus (chicken). The record is from RNAcentral. Lineage: Eukaryota; Metazoa; Chordata; Aves; Galliformes; Phasianidae.